AUUGAACGCUGGCGGCAUGCCUUACACAUGCAAGUCGAACGGUAACAGGUCUUCGSACGCUGACGAGUGGMGAACGGGUGAGUAAUACAUCGGAACGUGCCCAGUCGUGGGGGAUAACUACUSGAAAGAGUAGCUAAUACCGCAUACGAUSUGAGGAUGAAAGCGGGGGACCUUCGGGCCUCGCGCGAUUGGAGCGGCCGAUGGCAGAUUAGGUAGUUGGUGGGAUAAAAGCUUACCAASCCGACGAUCUGUAGCUGGUCUGAGAGGACGACCAGCCACACUGGGACUGAGACACGGCCCAGACUCCUACGGGAGGCAGCAGUGGGGAAUUUUGGACAAUGGGCGAAAGCCUGAUCCAGCAAUGCCGCGUGCAGGAUGAAGGCCUUCGGGUUGUAAACUGCUUUUGUACGGAACGAAAAAGCUUCUCCUAAUACGAGAGGCCCAUGACGGUACCGUAAG
This 459-nucleotide ribosomal RNA is filed under the name Delftia acidovorans. RNAcentral's name for it is "bacterial SSU rRNA". It matches the Rfam family "Bacterial small subunit ribosomal RNA", at positions 30 to 484 of the family's 1533-position model. The record is from RNAcentral. Lineage: Bacteria; Pseudomonadati; Pseudomonadota; Betaproteobacteria; Burkholderiales; Comamonadaceae.